RNAcentral lists this ribosomal RNA (137 nucleotides) under uncultured eukaryote. Its description in RNAcentral is "partial 18S ribosomal RNA". It matches the Rfam family "Eukaryotic small subunit ribosomal RNA", at positions 1299 to 1458 of the family's 1831-position model. The record is from RNAcentral.
UGGUGGAGUGAUUUGUCUGCUUAAUUGCGAUAACGAACGAGACCUUAACCUGCUAAAUAGCCAGGCUAGCUUUGGCUGGUCGCUGGCUUCUUAGAGGGACUAUCGGCUCAAGCCGAUGGAAGUUUGAGGCAAUAACA